This 2455-nucleotide long non-coding RNA is filed under the name Mus musculus (house mouse). Its description in RNAcentral is "long non-coding RNA chr11:77542974-77545429". Lineage: Eukaryota; Metazoa; Chordata; Mammalia; Rodentia; Muridae. The record is from RNAcentral.
AGAUGAGACUGAACUUGCAAGACAGCUGGAACGGCUUGAGAGAGAAAAUGCAGAAGUGGAUGGAGAUGAUGAUGCAGAAGAAAUGGAAGCCAAAACUGAAGAUUAACGUUUUGGAAAACAGUCCAAUUUAAGGAGUACGAAGCAGUCCUUCCUGGCUGUAAACCCUAGACUUGAAGUUUUCCAGUAUUGAAAACUCAAAGCUGAAUAUUUUUAUUUCCAAGUAUUUAAGUAUUCAACAAGCCAGAAUCUAAAUGCCCUCCUUCAUGUCAGCUGUUUUCACAUAGUGGCUCUAACACCUCAAGCAUUUUUCAAGGGAGUGGCUUGAUUUGACCAGAGACAAAUGUUAAACAGCAGUCCUAAUAUUGGGCCUACAGUUUCCAUUUCUCAUGUCUCUGGAAUGGCACCGUUAUGGUUCAGAGAUUACCAAGGGCUCCAAACACAAACAAUCCCAAUCUUUCUAUAUAAAAUGUAUUCAAGUACACAUCAAAUAAAUUUCUGGGAUAUUUUAAAACAAAACAAAACAAAACAAAACAAAACAAAACAAAACACUGACAAGCUAAAGUUUUACCAAGAUAUGUGAGGCAGACACUAAAACAGGUUUCUUUAGUUGGUUAGAACACUUCACUCCAAUUUCUUUUUUUUCUUUUUCAUGAUAAUCUCAACUCUAACCACAAUCUAUAAUAGAUCCAACUUUCUAAGUAGUACAAAACUUCAGACUAACUUUCAAGUGUUUGAUAGUAAAUAAUUAUUACAAGUGUCUUUUCCUUAGGAGAGUAAGUUAGAAUUAUACUCAGCAAUGGUUUACUCCCUCUGUCCUACAGUACUAUGUCCAAACCUGGGGCAUCAUGACAACACUCUACCAUUUAUUCACAUUCCCAACCUCGAACUCAGAAAUUCGCCUGCCUCUGCCUCCCGAGUGCUGGGAUCAAAGGCGUUUGCCACCACACCUGGCUAAAAAAACAUUUUAUUUUGAAACAAGGUUUUGAUUUGAUGGAGUUGUCCUUGAAUUCCUUUGUGCUUUAGCCUACUAAGUGCUAGAAUUACAGGGCACAUUCGCCAUCUGCAGUAAUGGUUUACUUUAUCGUUUAACAUCUGAAGAAAAUCUUAAAGUCAAUUAACUAUUCUUUUAAUGGUCUAAUAAAAGCUAAGGUGCAAGGCAGGGAUAGCCACCUUGGAGUAAACAGAGAAACUCAACAAAUAUUUUUGAGAUAGAAAUAUUGUAAGACAUUGCCUUUAAAAAGGUUUCAUUCAUUUUUUAUUAAGCUGGAUGUGAAAGUGCACAUUUAAACCCAGCAAUCAGGAGGCAGAGGAAGGAGGAUCUCUGAGUUUAAGACUGCAGAGCACUUCCAGAUAGCCAGGAAAUUAUGUCUUGAAAAACAAACAGACAAACAAGCAAACAUUAAAGGAGAUAUAUUUCUAUAGUGUAUAUUAGUUCAGCAUAAAAGUGAGAAUAUAUAAGCCGGGCUUGGUGGUGCACGUCUUUAAUCCCAGCGCUCGGGAGUCAGAGGCAGGUGGAUUUCUGAGUUUGAGGCCAGCCUGGUUGACAAAGUGAGUUCCAGGACAGCCAGGACUACACAGAGAAACUCUGUCUCGAAAAACAAAAACAAAAAAAACCCAAACAAACAAAAAAAAAAGUGAGAAUAUAUUCACUUACUACCACUGAGACAGAAUGUAUGUUAAAAUUAUUUUUAUCAUUAUAAAUAUUGACAGGUAUAAAUUAAGUUGGUCAAUAUACAUGUCAAAAAAUACAAAGUUUAGUUGGGGAUUAGUUAAGAGAUAGAAGCACUUGCCUAGCUCAAAUCACUAGGUUCAGUUCAAUGCCAUAGUAAAGUAUAAUUAAAUGAACUUUUACCUAUUUGUUUAGGAAAUUAAGAGGAAACUAACAGGUUACAUGUUGACCUGUAGACUACAAUGUCAGCAUCAGACACUGCAUAUUGUUAAAAUACUGACUAAGAAUGUCCAGGGCGAGAGAGAUGCUCAGAGGUUAAGAGCACUGGCUGCUCUUCUAGAGGUCCUGACUUCAAUUCUCAGCACACACAUGGCAUUCAUUAUCUGAUGCCUUUUCUGGUAUGCAGGCAUACAUGCAAACAAAACACUCACAUAUCUAAAAUACAGAAAUAAAUCUUUAAAAGAAUUUCAGCAGUUAAAUUUUCUGCUGAUUAUUUUUCUUUGAUACAAAGUACAAAAGUAAAGGAAGCAACAGGCAGUCCAACAGGAACCCAAGUUAAGCAUGCUAAAAAUGAAAGUAUUAAGUCAACUCAACCUCCCAAUGACUACAAAUGUGACUCUAUCAAGAAGCUUACACUAACGGUACCUUCAGACUCUUAGGUUGUUGUCGAACUUCCAUGACAUGUUUUCGCCUCAGUUCCCGUUCCCUUCUCUUAUUGUACUCUAGCUGGUUAGUGAGCUCAGUUUGAUGCUGCAGUCUGAUCAACUCACAGCGCAUCUUCUGAAU